GACGUAGGGUGCAAGUGUUGUCCGGAAUUAUUGGGCGUAAAGAGCUCGUAGGCGGUUUGUCGCGUCGAAUGUGAAAACCCGGGGCUCAACCCCGGGCCUGCAUUCGAUACGGGCAGACUAGAGUUCGGUAGGGGAGUCUGGAAUUCCUGGUGUAGCGGUGAAAUGCGCAGAUAUCAGGAGGAACACCGGUGGCGAAGGCGGGACUCUGGGCCGAUACUGACGCUGAGGAGCGAAAGCGUGGGUAGCAAACAGG
RNAcentral lists this ribosomal RNA (253 nucleotides) under uncultured bacterium. RNAcentral's name for it is "partial 16S ribosomal RNA". It matches the Rfam family "Bacterial small subunit ribosomal RNA", at positions 524 to 776 of the family's 1533-position model. The record is from RNAcentral.